RNAcentral lists this ribosomal RNA (497 nucleotides) under uncultured bacterium. RNAcentral's name for it is "partial 16S ribosomal RNA". It matches the Rfam family "Bacterial small subunit ribosomal RNA", at positions 28 to 507 of the family's 1533-position model. The record is from RNAcentral.
GAUGAACGCUGGCGGCGUGCCUAAUACAUGCAAGUCGAGCGAACGGACGAGAAUCUUGCUUCUCUGAUGUUAGCGGCGGACGGGUGAGUAACACGUGGAUAACCUACCUAUAAGACUGGGAUAACUUCGGGAAACCGGAGCUAAUACCGGAUAAUAUUUUGAACCGCAUGGUUCAAAAGUGAAAGACGGUCUUGCUGUCACUUAUAGAUGGAUCCGCGCUGCAUUAGCUAGUUGGUAAGGUAACGGCUUACCAAGGCAACGAUGCAUAGCCGACCUGAGAGGGUGAUUGGCCACACUGGAACUGAGACACGGUCCAGACUCCUACGGGAGGCAGCAGUAGGGAAUCUUCCGCAAUGGGCGAAAGCCUGACGGAGCAACGCCGCGUGAGUGAUGAAGGUCUUCGGAUCGUAAAACUCUGUUAUUAGGGAAGAACAUAUGUGUAAGUAACUGUGCACAUCUUGACGGUACCUAAUCAGAAAGCCACGGCUAACUACGUG